This 84-nucleotide transfer RNA is filed under the name Bacillota bacterium. RNAcentral describes it as "tRNA-Tyr". It matches the Rfam family "tRNA". From Rfam's summary of the family: Transfer RNA (tRNA) molecules are approximately 80 nucleotides in length. Lineage: Bacteria; Bacillati; Bacillota. The record is from RNAcentral.
GGAGAAAUAGCGAAGUGGCCAAACGCGGCUGACUGUAAAUCAGUUCCUUCGGGUUCGGUGGUUCAAAUCCACCUUUCUCCACCA